ACCAGCGUAGUGUAGUGGUUUGAACACUGGACUGUGACUCUGGUGACCAGGGUUUUGAAUCCCAGCUUGGCC
Molecule: non-coding RNA, 72 nt
Organism: Phrynosoma platyrhinos (Desert horned lizard)
Lineage: Eukaryota; Metazoa; Chordata; Lepidosauria; Squamata; Phrynosomatidae
Source: the annotation of a GenBank genome assembly